This is a non-coding RNA of Odocoileus virginianus texanus, 806 nucleotides long. The record is from RefSeq and is a predicted model, not a curated record. NCBI's taxonomy places the organism in Eukaryota, Metazoa, Chordata, Mammalia, Artiodactyla, Cervidae.
ACCUCACCACGCUGCGGGGGACGGAGUGAAAUGAUUAGACGGGAGAGCCCAUGUUAAAUCCCAAGGCACACACACGGGACUUUGAGAUGCUGAACACUAGAGUAACAUGAGUAAAAUGCCAACUACGAGGAUAGGCUUCCAGGCAGCAUAUGGUCACAGCUCAAAAAUGAAUUUAUCUCUUUUUAGCCUUAGUACUGCAAACCAUUUUGGAACCAGAGAAGAGCUGAAGACUAUAGCAAGGGAGAGAAUAGACACACACACAACCCGCCUAGGGAAGAGAAGUGAUAAAAGAGUACCUGUAGGUUAUAAUAAAAGACACUUUUUUUUUUUUUUAAGACACAGCUUCAAACUCACUAUCACAACUGUGAUACCAGGUUUCCAGACCCUUCAGCCAGGUGACAACUGCCUCAGUGUAAAAUGUUGACAACAGACCACCACACAUGCAGCAUUUGGUACUAUUGAGAAGGCCUGCUUCCUGCCCUAGGGUACUCAGGCUGAAACUUUCUCCCAUCUUCAAGUGCAUCAGUGCGUUCUGUAUUCUUUUCUUCCCCCAACCUGCACCCUGAGAGAAGGGCCACAGCUUCUACUCCCCUUCCUGUGCUCCACACCCCAGCACGCUGGAGACCAACUGCAAGCCCAGUAGCAUGAAGAAAAUAUUCAAAAUGUGACACAGAAGGAAUCAUCGGCAGCUCCGACACACUGUUCAGGGACCUUUAAUUACGAGUGACAACUCAAUGAACAAGUCAUUCAGGAAUAAAGUUUCUUUAUAACUGACGAAAGUUGACAGAACUGAUCUACAUGAAAAU